AGUGAACGCUGGCGGUAGGCCUAACACAUGCAAGUCGAACGGCAGCACAGUAAGAGCUUGCUCUUACGGGUGGCGAGUGGCGGACGGGUGAGGAAUACAUCGGAAUCUACUUUUUCGUGGGGGAUAACGUAGGGAAACUUACGCUAAUACCGCAUACGACCUACGGGUGAAAGCAGGGGAUCUUCGGACCUUGCGCGAUUGAAUGAGCCGAUGUCGGAUUAGCUAGUUGGCGGGGUAAGGGCCCACCAAGGCGACGAUCCGUAGCUGGUCUGAGAGGAUGAUCAGCCACACUGGAACUGAGACACGGUCCAGACUCCUACGGGAGGCAGCAGUGGGGAAUAUUGGACAAUGGGCGCAAGCCUGAUCCAGCCAUACCGCGUGGGUGAAGAAGGCCUUCGGGUUGUAAAGCCCUUUUGUUGGGAAAGAAAAGCAGCAGGUUAAUACCCCGCUGUUCUGACGGUACCCAAAGAGUAAGCACCGGCUAACUUCGUG
RNAcentral lists this ribosomal RNA (492 nucleotides) under uncultured bacterium. RNAcentral describes it as "partial 16S ribosomal RNA". It matches the Rfam family "Bacterial small subunit ribosomal RNA", at positions 29 to 507 of the family's 1533-position model. The record is from RNAcentral.